This 402-nucleotide ribosomal RNA is filed under the name uncultured bacterium. Its description in RNAcentral is "bacterial SSU rRNA". It matches the Rfam family "Bacterial small subunit ribosomal RNA", at positions 355 to 774 of the family's 1533-position model. The record is from RNAcentral.
UGGGGAAUCUUGCGCAAUGGGCGAAAGCCUGACGCAGCCAUGCCGCGUGAAUGAUGAAGGUCUUAGGAUUGUAAAAUUCUUUCACCGGGGACGAUAAUGAUGGUAACCGGAGAAGAAGCCCCGGCUAACUUCGUGCUAGCAGCCGCGGUAAUACGAAGGGGGCUAGCGUUGCCCGGAAUUACUGGGCGUAAAGGGAGCGUAGGCGGACAUUUAGGUCAGGGGUGAAAUCCCGGGGCGCAACCACGGAAUUGCCUGUGAUACUGAGUGUCUAGAGGGCAGGAGAGGAAUGUGGAAUUCCGGGUGUAGAGGUGAAAUUCGUAGAUAUUAGGAGGAACACCAGUGGCGAAGACGACAUACUGGCUCGUUACUGACGCUGAGGAGCGAAAGCAUGGGGAGCAAACA